AUGAUGGAUAGGCCAAGUACUUCUACCAACCCACUCUUCAUGGAGCAAGACGACGACAUGUCCUCCUACGUCACAAAGAGCCGCCUCUUUGGUGCACAACGAGCUUUGCAUCAAGAGCAAAAAGCAAUGAGCAAACACAUCGGCAACCUCGUCACCGACUUGCGACUCUCCGAGCAACGUACAAGAGACUACUUCGACAACAAUCUCGACGAACACAAACAAGAGAAUGACGCAAGAAUGGAUGAGAUUCGUGCUUUGUUGGCCAACCGCUCUUCUACCACUUCGUCCUACUCAAGAUGGAGCCGCUCGAGUUGA
RNAcentral lists this ribosomal RNA (315 nucleotides) under Triticum aestivum (bread wheat). Its description in RNAcentral is "partial small subunit ribosomal RNA". The record is from RNAcentral. Lineage: Eukaryota; Viridiplantae; Streptophyta; Magnoliopsida; Poales; Poaceae.